Long non-coding RNA from Sceloporus undulatus (fence lizard), 1147 nucleotides. RefSeq lists it as uncharacterized. NCBI's taxonomy places the organism in Eukaryota, Metazoa, Chordata, Lepidosauria, Squamata, Phrynosomatidae. The record is from RefSeq and is a predicted model, not a curated record. The transcript is spliced from 3 exons.
UCCGCUAGACAAGGGUUAGAAACAAAGGACAAAAGGAAACAACGCUAUCCAAGUUGAGCAGUAAAAGAGACCAAAGUUUUACCUGACCUUAUCGAAGUAUGGAUUUGUGUUGCAUUUUUGGCUUGUGUCCUCUUGUUAGUCCCAACUAAAGUGGACUUAAUUGAAUUUAAUGCAACUAGGGAUCCAAAUUCUUCACUGCUUUCUCCCCAAGGACGCAGUGAGUAAUUUUUGCAGUUUCCUUCCUCAAAGUCUUGCAAAACCACACAGUAUUUGAGGACCAUUUGGAGUUUGGGUGCCUUCGAUUCAGUAGUUCAACUGUAGUUGGAACUAACAAUAGGAUUUAUUGACAGCUUUAAAAAGUGGGACUUGAUUUCUUGGCAUGGAUAAUCAUGGAACUAGAUCCUCUAAUCGGCCUAAAAACUAACCUGGCAUACUCUUCGUCUUCCCCCAAAACAGUCUGGACUAUGGUUUCCAGCUAUGCUGGGUUGGCCAACACAUAUGACAGGACAAAAGCUAUGGGGAGGCUAUUGAAAUAAACUCUAGAACUACCCAGUUCUAACAUCCUAUUUCUUUGCUUUCAGACUACAUAAGGCUAAAUGUGUCGGUGCCACCUAAGAACCCGUCCGUGUGCCAAUGUCCUGAAUGGUUGGCUUGUCCAUUUCGCAGCCAAGACAUGAGAGAACCAAACGUAGAAAUCUCCCAGCGUGACCUAGGUUGGUGUUUUAAGGAACAAGAAGAGUCGCCCUGGAUAAGCCUCCUUCCCAAAACACCACCACCAACAUGGAAGAGAACAACAAAACGCAAAAAGGACCAUGGGUGUUAAGAGAAUUCACGUCAGGAGAAAUCUGAUGUCAGACUAAAGAUGGGAAACACAGACACGAGAGAACGAGACGGUUAAUCGGGACAAAGGCACGUGACAGACGGACAUUUCUGGACUCUUCUCCACCCGACCCACUUCCCUCCAAUGCUUUGCUGCUGAGUCUCACCCCUGGGGCAACAGGGCCAGGUCUGGCCCAGCCGUGGCUCCGGCCGACUUGAGCCGUGGGCCAUGGGACCGAGGGAGAGGGUGCCCACCUGAUGGAGCGCCAGUUCAGUACGGCCGGUUGGCGUCUUUGGGCCGCUUCAGCUGCACCUUGAGCCGCUUCAU